RNAcentral lists this non-coding RNA (31 nucleotides) under Mus musculus (house mouse). The record is from RNAcentral. Lineage: Eukaryota; Metazoa; Chordata; Mammalia; Rodentia; Muridae.
CACAUGUGCUGUUCAUGAAGUGAGCCUUAUG